Molecule: unclassified non-coding RNA, 1681 nt
Filed under: Hevea brasiliensis (rubber tree)
Lineage: Eukaryota; Viridiplantae; Streptophyta; Magnoliopsida; Malpighiales; Euphorbiaceae
Source: RNAcentral
GUGAAUGUGUCGCUUUACUUAUGAAAAAAAAAAAUACAAUUUGCCCAAAUUAAUAGGCAUCAAAUUAUGAUAAUAUAAUUUUGGUGGCAGUCAGAUUUACAAAAAAUAGAAUUUAUUUUCUCAAAUUCACUUCACCUCUUCUGUUACCCCUUUAGUAUAAUACAUUAAUUAUGACAAAAAUCAAUAAACAAAUUUAAAAAGGGAAGCAUGCAUAUAAACAUUUUUCACAUAUCAAACAAAAAAAAAUUUGGCCUUUAAACCGGGGGCCUAUUUGGUUCAGCCACAUUAUCUGAUCCACCCGGUCGAGCCGAAGUCCCUUCUCCGUCAUUGGCUGCCACUUUUGGCGACCUUACUGACGAUGAAACUCUCGUCAAAAACGACGACGCUCUUGCUAAAAAUGGUGGACCAGCACUAAAAACCCAUCGGUCCGAUUUAGCUCCCUGGUCCAACCGCUCAAGCCGUUUAUACUUCCCUCUAUUGCUUCCUUCGCCUUCGCCCUUAUAGCCCCUCCUUGAACUCCGUUCUCUUGAAAACACCACCAUGCUCAUAGUCCGGUUCAAUUCCCGGUUCAUUAUUUGCUUCCUAACAUCAGCCGGUAACCUCAGAGUGAACCGCUCCGUGUUCUCGCCCGGUUGGACCAGAGAAUGCCCAGUGGAGUGUGAACGCGGGAACCUACGUGGCCUACCGGAUCUCGAUCCACGCGUGCGGUUCCUGUUCAAAGUUUGGUUCGCGCUCAUAACCUCAGGCUCCGGCGCUGUCACUUCAACAUUUCCGUCGUUAUGAUCGCAGACUUCUGGUUCUAAUACUACUUCAGCAUGGUUUUGAGCUUCGAGGUCCGACUGUGGCGGUGAAUCGGUAAGUUGCAGAGACGGUUCACCGGGUUGCGGUGUCAAAUUAGCUCGACAAACAGGACAAGUGGUGUGAGAAGCUAGCCAAACGUCGAUACAAUCAGCGUGAAACACAUGAUCGCAUUUAGGAAUUAAACGCAGCGUUUCAUCAUCUUCGAAUUCACACAAGCAAACAGCGCAUUCUAGCGCUCCUUUCCCUAUCUUGAGAUCCUUCACCUCAGAGUACACCAAAGUAGGGAAUGUCUGGAUGACGGCAGGAUCAAGCCCACGCGAUGCAGCGGCUCGUAUGGAGCGACCCAAGUUGGUUAGUGCCCGCACGCUCCCUCCGCCUCGGCUGUCGGAGCAGUGGCGCAUGUAAAUAGUAAAAAACGCCAUGAAGAAGAGAGCGGUAAUUAAGAUGGCGAUGAUGACAGCCAUCGUAGGACUAACACGAGAAUAGCUGUAAGGUACCUGCGUGCCGUUGGGUGAUUGAGCGACGGCGAACGAAGAUGAAAGAAGGAAGAAGAUGGAGAGAGAAAAAAUCCCAUAUUUAUGAGUGAAAAAACUCAUGCUGGAGCUGCAAAAACCGAGCAUAAGGGAUCUUGAAGAGUGAAUUGAAUACCCUUUAUGUUGGUUUUCUGGUGGCGGCUUCUGUGUCUGGUGGGUGGUAGCGUCAGGCGGAGGCGGCAUGGUAUUAAGAAGAGAUGAGUGAAGCGGGGAGAGAGAAUGGUUUGGGUUUAUAAAUGAAGGAAAGUCCAGCGCCGUGGGAAUCAAAAGAAGACUUUGGAGGCGUGACUUUCUCUGGCAUUUCGUGUCGCUAAGUGAGGAUUUUGGUCAAAUAAGGUGAGCCACGU